CCAGCUUGGAAAAAAAAAUCGGGUUGUUGGAAAUGUGGUAUGAAUUGCUUAGAAUGCCCUUGAAUAUUUUUGGUAAGGAUUCGGGUUGAUAAUUGAAUGUAUAAGCGUCGAUUUUGGCUUGAAGGUAAGUCGUCGAAUUGAAUUUAUGUAAGUUGUCGAAAAAUGGAAAAGAAAGCGAUUAUUGUAUUUUGUUUUUCGGAUUGGUUGUUGGUGUUGUUAGGUUGGUUAUUGUCGUUGGUGAUUGAUAUAGCCGAGUUAAAUUCUCGGGGUGGCCUAUUUAUAGGGGAAAUGCUGCCCAAAUUUCUGUGGAAUUAAGGGCGAAAUUGGAAUUUAUUGCCCAAUAAGUCUUUAGUUAAUGUUUGGCAUUUUAUGGCUUAUUUUUAGAUCGUGGGCAGCCCGAAUCAUAGUUUGGACUUAGCUUGAGUUGGAUCAUAUUGGAGAGCGUUUGAGGUACAGACGCACAACCUGGUGAUCCACCUGUUUAGGACACCCUUCCUGCUAUUCGGAGUGCUCCUCUCUUUCCGGAGCUUAUACUUUUGGUAUAUAUAUUUAUUAGUGCAUUUGUAUAUAUUCGUUCAUGGGUACGGCGGGCCCCUGUCCCGUCAUAUGAUUCUGUCGGUCUGUUUAGAGGUCUGUGGACAUGUUUGUGGGUUAGGGUCUUUCUGUAUGGAUAGGUGUAUAUGUUGUUUGGGCGAUCCCAUACGCCGAGGCGGCCGGUCCGCAUAUGUUUAUACGUUGCUUUGCUAGCCCUGUGUGGCCUUUGUUGGUGUUUGCUGUGUACAGGGUUAUUUUGGAUAGUCUGUAAAACAGAGGAAACUCUGCCGAAAUUUUUCUGGGAAUUGUCUAAAUUUAGAA
This is a long non-coding RNA of Lycium barbarum (goji berry), 855 nucleotides long. RefSeq lists it as uncharacterized. NCBI's taxonomy places the organism in Eukaryota, Viridiplantae, Streptophyta, Magnoliopsida, Solanales, Solanaceae. The transcript is spliced from 2 exons. The record is from RefSeq and is a predicted model, not a curated record.